RNAcentral lists this ribosomal RNA (219 nucleotides) under uncultured bacterium. RNAcentral's name for it is "partial 16S ribosomal RNA". It matches the Rfam family "Bacterial small subunit ribosomal RNA", at positions 1282 to 1500 of the family's 1533-position model. The record is from RNAcentral.
GCGGUCUCAGUUCGGAUUGAAGGCUGAAAUUCGCCUUCAUGAAGUCGGAAUUGCUAGUAAUGGCAGGUCAGCAUACUGCCGUGAAUACGUUCCCGGGCCUUGUACACACCGCCCGUCACACCAUGAGAGUUGGGAAUACCCGAAGCCUGUGAGCCAAACAAACGAGGCAGCAGUCGAAGGUAGAAUCAAUGAGUUGGGGUGAAGUCGUAACAAGGUAAC